AGGGUAUUGCAGCUUUUCCCAGUCACUAGUGUUACUUUGUAUUCACAGCCAAGACAGCUGCGAUCAGUCAAGUCCACCUGAGUCAAAGUAGACUAUACCAAGAAACAAGAAAACCUCAUCAUAUUUUCAGUCAGAGAAGUAGAAGCAAUGACCAUGAUCUCUCCGUCUCUCUCUGCUGCCAGUCUAGUGAAAUUAAACCAGAUCCAGCCUCUCACACCUACCCUACGAUGUCAUUCUACAAACAAUCACAUCAUCAACAUCUCAAACCUACAAGAUGAUGCAUAUGAAUAAUUUUUUUUUUAGGUAAGUGGUAUUUCUAAGACUCCAUUUGGCAAAAGGGAUGAUGAGAUACAAAAGUUUCAGAACCACAACCGAUUAAGGUACAGGUACAUCAAAAGUCAUUACUGCAAGACAUAUUUGAAAGCAAAGAAAUCUUGGGAUUGAUUAACGGUGGGGGUAGGGGGAAAGAGACAUCAACAUCAAUGUAUUUUCCAAUGACCUGUGUAGUUAUGGAAGUAAUAAAUUAAUAUUUUCAAACAUCAAGACAUAUUCUUCUUUUUGAAAUAAGCAAAUAAAA
Octopus bimaculoides (California two-spot octopus) is the source of this 577-nucleotide long non-coding RNA. The record is from RefSeq and is a predicted model, not a curated record. NCBI's taxonomy places the organism in Eukaryota, Metazoa, Mollusca, Cephalopoda, Octopoda, Octopodidae.